AAUGAACGUUGGCGGCGUGGAUUAGGCUUGCAAGUCGAGCGAGAAGAGUUUGGUAGCUUGCUAUGAAACUCGGAAAGCGGCGAAAGGGAGAGUAACGCGUAGUUAUGUACCCAGGGGUGCGGAAUAGCCACGGGAAACUGUGGGUAAUGCCGAAUAACAUCCCCGGAUCAAAGGUGUGAUUCCGCCCUUGGAGCAGACUGCGUCCUACUAGCGAGUUGACGGGGUAAUGGCCCACCAAGGCAACAAUGGGUAGCGGGUGUGAGAGCAUGACCCGUCUCACUGGGACUGAGACACUGCCCAGACACCUACGGGUGGCUGCAGUCGAGAAUCUUCGGCAAUGGACGAAAGCCUGACCGAGCGACGCCGCGUGCGGGAUGAAGGCCCUCGGGUUGUAAACCGCUGUCGUAGGGGAGGAAGGCUCCGUGAAGAACGGGGUUUGACCUAUCCUAGGAGGAAGUACGGGCUAAGUUCGUGCCAGCCGCCGCGGUAA
RNAcentral lists this ribosomal RNA (490 nucleotides) under uncultured bacterium. Its description in RNAcentral is "partial 16S ribosomal RNA". It matches the Rfam family "Bacterial small subunit ribosomal RNA", at positions 29 to 523 of the family's 1533-position model. The record is from RNAcentral.